This 528-nucleotide ribosomal RNA is filed under the name uncultured bacterium. RNAcentral describes it as "bacterial SSU rRNA". It matches the Rfam family "Bacterial small subunit ribosomal RNA", at positions 791 to 1319 of the family's 1533-position model. The record is from RNAcentral.
UAGUCCUGGCCGUAAACGGUGAACACUAGAUGUCGGGGGUAUCGACCCCCUCGGUGUCGGAGCUAACGCAUUAAGUGUUCCGCCUGGGGAGUACGACCGCAAGGUUGAAACUCAAAGGAAUUGCCGGGUCCCCGCACAAGCGGUGGAGGAUGCGGUUUAAUUCGACGCAACGCGAAGAACCUUACCAGGGCUUAAACAGCAGGGUAAACCCUUCGAAAGAAGGGCUGCUUCGGCAAUCCUGUAGAGGUGCUGCAUGGCAGUCGUCAGCUCGUGUCGUGAGAUGUUGGGUUAAAGUCCCGUCAACGAGCGCAACCCUUGUCUUUAGUUGCCAGCGCGUAAUGGCGGGAACUCUAGAGAGACUGCCGCCGUAAGGCGAGGAAGUGGGGAUGACGUCAUAGUCCUCAUGGCCCUUAUGUCCUGGGCUACACGCGUCCUACAAUGGUCGGUACAGCGAGUCGCAAUACCGCGAGGUGGAGCUAAUCUCACAAAGCCGGCCCCAGUUCGGAUUGUAGUCUGCAACUCGACUAC